Molecule: transfer RNA, 56 nt
Filed under: Caudoviricetes sp.
Lineage: Duplodnaviria; Heunggongvirae; Uroviricota; Caudoviricetes
Description: tRNA-OTHER
Rfam family: tRNA
About the family: Transfer RNA (tRNA) molecules are approximately 80 nucleotides in length. Their secondary structure includes four short double-helical elements and three loops (D, anti-codon, and T loops). Further hydrogen bonds mediate the characteristic L-shaped molecular structure. tRNAs have two regions of fundamental functional importance: the anti-codon, which is responsible for specific mRNA codon recognition, and the 3' end, to which the tRNAs corresponding amino acid is attached (by aminoacyl-tRNA synthetases). tRNAs cope with the degeneracy of the genetic code in two manners: having more than one tRNA (with a specific anti-codon) for a particular amino acid; and 'wobble' base-pairing, i.e. permitting non-standard base-pairing at the 3rd anti-codon position.
Source: RNAcentral
AAGUGGAAUCUCACAAGACUCAUAUUCUUGAGAACGGCGGUUCGAAUCCGCCUCCU